RNAcentral lists this ribosomal RNA (547 nucleotides) under uncultured bacterium. Its description in RNAcentral is "partial 16S ribosomal RNA". It matches the Rfam family "Bacterial small subunit ribosomal RNA", at positions 355 to 914 of the family's 1533-position model. The record is from RNAcentral.
UGGGGAAUAUUGGACAAUGGGCGCAAGCCUGAUCCAGCCAUGCCGCGUGAGUGAUGAAGGCCCUAGGGUUGUAAAGCUCUUUCACCGGUGAAGAUAAUGACGGUAACCGGAGAAGAAGCCCCGGCUAACUUCGUGCCAGCAGCCGCGGUAAUACGAAGGGGGCUAGCGUUGUUCGGAAUUACUGGGCGUAAAGCGCACGUAGGCGGACAUUUAAGUCAGGGGUGAAAUCCCGGGGCUCAACCCCGGAACUGCCUUUGAUACUGGGUGUCUAGAGUUCGAGAGAGGUGAGUGGAAUUCCGAGUGUAGAGGUGAAAUUCGUAGAUAUUCGGAGGAACACCAGUGGCGAAGGCGGCUCACUGGCUCGAUACUGACGCUGAGGUGCGAAAGCGUGAGGAAGCAAAGUCAGGAUUAGCAUGACCCUGGCUAGUCCACGCAGUAAACGAUGGAAGCCAGCUGUCGGCAAGUUUACUUGUCGGUGGCGCAGCUAACGCAUUAAGCUUCCCGCCUGGGGAGUACGGUCGCAAGAUUAAAACUCAAAGGAAUUGAC